RNAcentral lists this ribosomal RNA (350 nucleotides) under Microbacterium oxydans. RNAcentral describes it as "bacterial SSU rRNA". It matches the Rfam family "Bacterial small subunit ribosomal RNA", at positions 46 to 399 of the family's 1533-position model. The record is from RNAcentral. Lineage: Bacteria; Bacillati; Actinomycetota; Actinomycetes; Micrococcales; Microbacteriaceae.
GCUAACAUGCAGUCGACGGUGAACACGGAGCUUGCUCUGUGGGAUCAGUGGCGAACGGGUGAGUAACACGUGAGCAACCUGCCCCUGACUCUGGGAUAAGCGCUGGAAACGGCGUCUAAUACUGGAUAUGUGACGUGACCGCAUGGUCUGCGUCUGGAAAGAAUUUCGGUUGGGGAUGGGCUCGCGGCCUAUCAGCUUGUUGGUGAGGUAAUGGCUCACCAAGGCCUCAACGGGUAGCCGGCCUGAGAGGGUGACCGGCCACACUGGGACUGAGACACGGCCCAAACUCCUACGGGAGGCAGCAGUGGGGAAUAUUGCACAAUGGGCGCAAGCCUGAUGCACCAACCCCG